AAUCAUUAACCAGGAGAAUAAAAGGAGGCACAAAUCUCACGCUCUCAGUACGAGGAGUAUUUGUAAAAUGUCGAAAACAAUCUAUCUGGUUUUUGUCCUGGUGAUUCUGACCACACUUUUGUGCAACAGCCCAGUCUGUUCACAAAGAGGAUCUGGAAAUGGACAAGCCACAUGUGGUUGCAAAAUCCAUCCUAGGAAAGGUCUACAAUGUGUAAGGAGACCCCAUAAAACUUGGGCUGAAACUGUGCAGUGUAUUUGCAAUAACCGCAAAACUUAUUUAAAUGGUGACUCCAAGAGGCUGUAUCAGAAGUACUGCAACCGAACCAUUUCUACUCCUUUGUGAUCUGAUGGAGGUUUGCAGUUAUCAGCGUAUAUUCAAGUCUAUAAAUACACACUCCACUCCGCAUAAUCACAAAGAUUAUCACUGAUUUUAAAUUUAAGCUUGAUUUUUACAAGAUUGUUUUGUUUGCGUUUUAAAUCAACAAAAUAAAAGUAUGUAAACUAUUGGGACAUGUUUUGCUGUUAUGCUUUUUUGUUUGUUUUGAUGACAGAGAGAUAUGUCAUGUUCUUUAUCUCCACUUGUCAUACUUUGUGUUUGACUACUUUUUUACAUUCACAAUAAAUCUUUUUAUCU
Molecule: non-coding RNA, 634 nt
Organism: Misgurnus anguillicaudatus (oriental weatherfish)
Lineage: Eukaryota; Metazoa; Chordata; Actinopteri; Cypriniformes; Cobitidae
Source: RefSeq, a predicted model, not a curated record